AAAAAACACACGAACGCUGGCGGUAGGACAACACAUGCAUGUCGAACGAAGCCUUCGGGCUUAGUGUGCGCACGGGUGAGUAGCACUGGGAGCCUACCUUACGGUACGGAAUAACUCAGGGAAACUUGGGCUAAUACCGUAUACGUCCUUCGGGAGAAAGAUUUAUCGCCGUAAGAUGGGCCCGCGCCCGAUUAGCUAGUUGGUGGGGUAACGGCCUACCAAGGCUGCGAUCGGUAGCUGGUCUGAGAGGAUGAUCAGCCACACUGGGACUGAGACACGGUCCAGACUCAUACGGGAGGCAGCAGUGGGGAAUAUUGGACAAUGGGCGCAAGCCUGAUCCAGCCAUGCCGCGUGAGUGAAGAAGGCCUUAGGGUUGUAAAGCUCUUUCAGCGGGGAAGAUGAUGACGGUACCCGCAGAGGAAGCCCCGGCUAACUCCGUGCCAGCAGCCGCGGUAAUACCGGAGGGGGCAAGCGUUGUUCAAGAAUUACUGGGCGGUAAAGGGCGCGCAGGCGGCUGGUCGCGUCAGGUGUGAAAGCCCCGGGCUCAACCUGGGAACUGCACUUGAUACGGGCCGGCUUGAGGACGAGAGAGGAGUGUGGAAUUCCCAGUGUAGAGGUGAAAUCGUAGAUAUUGGGAAGAACACCAGUUGGCGAAGGCGGAACUCUGGCUC
RNAcentral lists this ribosomal RNA (671 nucleotides) under uncultured Rhodospirillaceae bacterium. RNAcentral's name for it is "bacterial SSU rRNA". It matches the Rfam family "Bacterial small subunit ribosomal RNA", at positions 1 to 735 of the family's 1533-position model. The record is from RNAcentral. Lineage: Bacteria; Pseudomonadati; Pseudomonadota; Alphaproteobacteria; Rhodospirillales; Rhodospirillaceae.